AAUCUCCCAGCUCAGAGUUUGGUUGUGCUGUGUGAAGUGAAGCUGGAGGCCAGGUCAUAGUCUUCCUGCAGCUGGUAGUGUCCGUACCAGCUGUGCCAGUCCGCCGCUGCAGAGCCACAGUAGCUCUGUUCAGCCGGGCUUGGCUGCCGGGUGUGAACCUCCUCCUGCGCUGCAGUGCGGCAGGGCAGGUGUGCAGAGCCGAGCCUGUGCAGUAUGUCUGGGUUGAACUGGUCAUGGUCUUGCGGUUGCCCUUGCGUUGCCCCCAGCACUCGGCCAGCUUCUCCUUGUUCUUGGAGAUGAAGUGAAAGGUGCCACUGCUGUUGUCUGUCCACUGGAUUGAGUCGCCCAUGUUGGAGUCAUUCAGAGCCUCGUGGAGUCAUAUCCCGGAGCUGGUACAUCGGGCGGGUGUGUGACGAGGCAGCAGGAGAUCUGACACUGCAGCGAUGGCUGGGUACCCAAAGUCUCAUAAUAUGUGUACUCUGAAAAGAAGAAAACGACACAUUAGCUGUCAUUUAAUUAAUUAAUUCAAGUGAUGCAAUCAAUUGAAGUUGCUUUCUUGUGAUUGUAAAAAAAAAAUGCUAAUAAUUGUGCAUUGAAAAUGUCAUGGUUAUGUAUAUUUGUAUUAAAUUAUGAAGAGAUUUUUUACUGUA
This is a long non-coding RNA of Cottoperca gobio, 650 nucleotides long. RefSeq lists it as uncharacterized. Lineage: Eukaryota; Metazoa; Chordata; Actinopteri; Perciformes; Bovichtidae. The record is from RefSeq and is a predicted model, not a curated record. The transcript is spliced from 3 exons.